AUCACCUAGGGAUCUUGUUAAAAUGCAGAUUCUGACUCAGCAGAGCUGAAGUGGGCCUGAGAGUCUGCAUUUCUAGCAAGCUCCCAAGCAGUCCAGA
Molecule: microRNA precursor, 97 nt
Filed under: Equus caballus (horse)
Lineage: Eukaryota; Metazoa; Chordata; Mammalia; Perissodactyla; Equidae
Description: mir-544 microRNA precursor family
Rfam family: mir-544 microRNA precursor family
Source: Rfam by way of RNAcentral